RNAcentral lists this ribosomal RNA (301 nucleotides) under uncultured bacterium. Its description in RNAcentral is "partial 16S ribosomal RNA". It matches the Rfam family "Bacterial small subunit ribosomal RNA", at positions 509 to 809 of the family's 1533-position model. The record is from RNAcentral.
CAGUAGCCGCGGUAAUACGAAGGGUGCAAGCGUUAAUCGGAAUUACUGGGCGUAAAGCGUGCGUAGGCGGUUUGUUAAGUCUGCUGUGAAAUCCCCGGGCUCAACCUGGGAAUGGCAGUGGAUACUGGCAAGCUAGAGUGUGUCAGAGGAUGGUGGAAUUCCCGGUGUAGCGGUGAAAUGCGUAGAGAUCGGGAGGAACAUCAGUGGCGAAGGCGGCCAUCUGGGACAACACUGACGCUGAGGCACGAAAGCGUGGGGAGCAAACAGGAUUAGAGACCCCCGUAGUCCCUGUCUCUUAUAA